GAUGAAGAACGCAGCGAAAUGCGAUAAGUAGUGUGAAUUGCAGAAUUCAGUGAAUCAUCGAAUCUUUGAACGCACAUUGCGGCCAUAGGUAUUCCUUUGGCCAUGCCUGUUCGAGCGUCAUUUACACCCUCAAGCCUAGCUUGGUGUUGGGCGUCUGUCCCGCCGUUUUCGCGCGCGGACUCGCCUCAAAGUCAUUGGCGGCGGUCGUGCCGGCCCCCUCGCGCAGCACAUUUGCGCUUCUCGGAGGCCCGGCGGAUCCGCGCUCCAGCAAGACCUUUCACGACUUGACCUCGGAUCAGGUAGGGAUACCCGCUGAACUUAAGCAUAUCAAUAAGGGAGGA
This 341-nucleotide unclassified non-coding RNA is filed under the name soil metagenome. RNAcentral describes it as "partial contains 5.8S ribosomal RNA, internal transcribed spacer 2, and large subunit ribosomal RNA". The stretch from base 1 to 120 matches the Rfam family "5.8S ribosomal RNA", at positions 35 to 154 of the family's 154-position model. The record is from RNAcentral.